Molecule: ribosomal RNA, 514 nt
Filed under: Anisops sardeus
Lineage: Eukaryota; Metazoa; Arthropoda; Insecta; Hemiptera; Notonectidae
Description: eukaryotic LSU rRNA
Rfam family: Eukaryotic large subunit ribosomal RNA
Source: RNAcentral
GAAGUCUAACAUGUGCGCGAGUCAUUGGGCUCCUAUUCGAAACCCAAAGGCUUAAUGAAAGUGAAGGAAGCUUCGCUUUCCUAGGGAGGAUGGCCGUGUCUGCCCAAAAGGCGGCGGUCCGCACUCCCGGGGCGUCUCUUUCUCAUUGCGAGUGGAGGCGCACCCAGAGCGUACACGUUAGGACCCGAAAGAUGGUGAACUAUGCCUGGUCAGGACGAAGCCAGGGGAAACCCUGGUGGAGGUCCGUAGCGAUUCUGACGUGCAAAUCGAUCGUCAGAGCUGGGUAUAGGGGCGAAAGACUAAUCGAACCAUCUAGUAGCUGGUUCCCUCCGAAGUUUCCCUCAGGAUAGCUGGUGCCCGCGGGUAACGAGUCUCAUCCGGUAAAGCGAAUGAUUAGAGGCAUUGGGGCCGAAACGACCUCAACCUAUUCUCAAACUUUAAAUAGAUGAGAACUCCGGCUUGCUUGAAAGUGAAGCCGGAGACUCGGAUCAGGGUGCCCAGUGGGCCAAUUUUG